AGUCAACAUAGCAAUAUGUGGCAUACGGCUCAGUAACACGUAGUCAACAUGCCCAGGGGACGUGGAUAACCUCGGGAAACUGAGGAUAAACCGCGAUAGGUCAUCACUUCUGGAAUGGGUAAUGACUUAAAUCUAUAUGGCCUCUGGAUUGGACUGCGGCCGAUCAGGCUGUUGGUGAGGUAAUGGCCCACCAAACCUAAAACCGGUACGGGCUCUGAGAGGAGAAGCCCGGAGAUGGGCACUGAGACAAGGGCCCAGGCCCUAUGGGGCGCAGCAGGCGCGAAAACUCUGCAAUAGGCGAAAGCCUGACAGGGUUACUCUGAGUGAUGCCCGCUAAGGGUAUCUUUUGGCACCUCUAAAAAUGGUGCAGAAUAAGGGGUGGGCAAGUCUGGUGUCAGCCGCCGCGGUAAUACCAGCACCCCGAGUUGUCGGGACGAUUAUUGGGCCUAAAGCAUCCGUAGCCUGUUCUGCAAGUCCUCCGUUAAAUCCACCUGCUCAACGGAUGGGCUGCGGAGGAUACCGCAGAGCUAGGAGGCGGGAGAGGCAAACGGUACUCAGUGGGUAGGGGUAAAAUCCAUUGAUCUACUGAAGACCACCAGUGGCGAAGGCGGUUUGCCAGAACGCGCUCGACGGUGAGGGAUGAAAGCUGGGGGAGCAAACCGGAUUAGAUACCCGGGUAGUCCCAGCUGUAAACGAUGCAGACUCGGUGAUGGGUUGGCUUCGAGCCAACCCAGUGCCGCAGGGAAGCCGUUAAGUCUGCCGCCUGGGGAGUACGGUCGCAAGA
RNAcentral lists this ribosomal RNA (784 nucleotides) under uncultured archaeon. RNAcentral's name for it is "bacterial SSU rRNA". It matches the Rfam family "Archaeal small subunit ribosomal RNA", at positions 56 to 848 of the family's 1478-position model. The record is from RNAcentral.